AUGUGGCCCGGGCGCACUAUUUCUAAUGAAACUCCCACUGAACGUCUUCUUCAUAUCACACCAGAUUACACCGCCCUUCGUGUUUUUGGUUGCGCAUGUUGGCCAAAUCUUUGUCCAUACAAUACUCGAAAACUCAUGUAUCUUUCCAAACAGUGUGUUUUUCUUGGCUAUAGUGCGCAACACAAAGGUGUCAAGUGCCUUGAUGUUUCUACAGGCUGUGUGUACAUCUCACGUGACGUCGUUUUUGAUGAGACUCAGUUUCCCUUUGCAAGUCUACACCCCAAUGCUGGCGCGCUCCUUGGGAAAGAAAUCCUUCUUAUCCCAUCUCAUCUUUCCGGUGUUACAUGUGUGGGCGAUGAUAGUUGUGCUGACCAAAAUAUGACUAAUAUAUCUCCUGUUUAUCCCUGA
This 408-nucleotide ribosomal RNA is filed under the name Triticum aestivum (bread wheat). Its description in RNAcentral is "partial small subunit ribosomal RNA". The record is from RNAcentral. Lineage: Eukaryota; Viridiplantae; Streptophyta; Magnoliopsida; Poales; Poaceae.